GUAACGCGUGAGUAACGUGCCCUCAAGUUGGGAAUAACUUUCCGAAAGGAGAGCUAAUACCGAAUGUGGUUAUUUUUUCGCAUGUAUAGAUAACUAAAGAUUUAUCGCUUGAGGAUCGGCUCGCGUCCAAUUACGCUUGUUGGUGAGGUAACGGCUCACCAAGGCUAUGACGGGUAGGUGGUCUAAGAGGAUGGUCACCCACACUGGGACUGAGACACUGCCCAGACUCCUACGGGAGGCUGCAGUCGAGAAUCUUCCGCAAUGGGCGAAAGCUUGACGGAGCAAUGCCGCGUGAAGGAUGAAGGCCUUUGGGUUGUAAACUUCUGUCACCGGGGAUGAAUAAUGACAGUACCCGGGGAGGAAGCCACGGCUAACUACGUGCCAGCAGCCGCGGUAAUACGUAGGUGGCGAGCGUUGUUCGGAUUUAUUGGGCGUAAAGGGUUCGUAGGGGGUUAACUAAGUCUGAUGUGGAAUCCCGCGGCUUAACCGCGAAACUGCAUUGGAGACUGGAGAACUAGAGGAUCGGAGAGGAGAGUGGAAUUCCGGGAGUAGCGGUGGAAUGCGUAGAUAUCCGGAAGAACACCGACAGCGAAGGCAGCUCUCUGGACGAUACCUGACCCUGAGGGACGAAAGCGUGGGUAGCAAACAGGAUUAGAUACCCUGUAGUCCACGCCGUAAACGUUGUGUGCUUGGUUUGCAGAUUCAACCCUGUCGGAAUCGUAGCUAACGCGU
Molecule: ribosomal RNA, 732 nt
Filed under: uncultured bacterium
Lineage: Bacteria
Description: bacterial SSU rRNA
Rfam family: Bacterial small subunit ribosomal RNA
Source: RNAcentral